GUGGAUACCAGGAAGCUGUGUGUAUUGAGAGCUGGGGAAGGCAGGUUUUUUGCCAGUUUGGCUUUUGCACUGAGAAAGCUCUCUCACACCUGAAGAAGAUGCUCUGUAUUGCUUCAGCAUUUCAGGUGGAUUAGCCAACAACGCACCAGGGACCAAGUAAAGAGCAAGAAAGUCACAGGAAGCAGCAUUGCUGAUAAACUGGUGGGGUUCAGCAAGUGUAUUGAUUUCAGACAUACAGAUUACUGGAGAAGGAAUGACUCAAAGGCUCGCAUAGUACACGAACACCCUGGCUACAGUUUUGAAAAAGCCUCAGCUGAUCUUUAGCUCCCACACCAAAUCAGAUCAUGUCAUAUGCUUCUCAACGGGACAACAGCAUGUCACAUUGUGAACCUGGAGAAAAGAAGAACAGCUCUUAUCUGAGUCCCGCCUACUGUGGAGAAGGUGCUGGCUGACAGGAGAUAGGAGCAGGCUCGCCUGAGAGACCCUUCCUGGCUCUGGGGCUGGCAGGAAACUCAAAUAAAAAAUAACAAAAAACUGCUAAAAUGUAGCAACCCAGAACUCUCCCUUUGCCAAAGGCCAAACAGAACUUGCAUGACAAAUGUUUGGAGGUCACAUCUGAAGACAGA
Mauremys reevesii (Reeves's turtle) is the source of this 626-nucleotide long non-coding RNA. RefSeq lists it as uncharacterized. The transcript is spliced from 5 exons. The record is from RefSeq and is a predicted model, not a curated record. NCBI's taxonomy places the organism in Eukaryota, Metazoa, Chordata, Testudines, Geoemydidae.